GAAUAUUUGGACGAGUGGUAAAAACGGCAUUCUAUCGACAGCAAAGACCCGGGUUCGAAUCCCGCAUUGUACA
Cordylochernes scorpioides is the source of this 73-nucleotide non-coding RNA. The record is from the annotation of a GenBank genome assembly. NCBI's taxonomy places the organism in Eukaryota, Metazoa, Arthropoda, Arachnida, Pseudoscorpiones, Chernetidae.